Molecule: non-coding RNA, 1396 nt
Organism: Callithrix jacchus (white-tufted-ear marmoset)
Lineage: Eukaryota; Metazoa; Chordata; Mammalia; Primates; Cebidae
Source: RefSeq, a predicted model, not a curated record
AGGAGGAAGGGAGGAGCGACCAACCCUCUCCAACACACCCAAGUGACCAGAUUCAUCAUAGCACGAAACUUCACAAGUUACACCCACUGCCUCCGCCAGCAGCCGGGGAAGGCUGCCGCUUCCUCAUUUCUGUUACUGGAAGUUUCAGAGAUGUGAAGCCAGACGGGAGAAAAGUGCGCGCCUUGUUGAGCAGCGGUGGAGUCACUGUGGACUGAGGCCCACGUUUCUAGACUUGAAGCCCAGGAAGGAGGAAGAGAAGGCUGGUUGCUACCAUGGGGUAUGAUGCUCUGAAUCCUAGUCUCUCACCUAGGAUGUGAGCAGUCCCUACAGAUGGCACAUUUGGAGAUCUUGACAAAGCUUCUUCUGUCUCCAAUGGGUUACGUAGAAACCCCAGCUCAUUUCUCUUGGAAAGAAAGUUACGACCGAUCCACCAUGUCCGGGAGCACGUAGACAAAUGAAUUCCUCAGUCCCGAGUUUUCCAGCAUAUCUGGGAGUUUCUGGAACAGCCUAUAUGUUCAGUUCAGCCCAUUGACUUGAACUUUGUGGAUGAACCAUCAGAGGAUGGUGCAACAAACAAGAUUGAGAUUAGCAUGGACUGUAUCCGCAUGCAGGACUCCGACCUGAGUGACCAUGUGGGCCAGAAAACCAGUGCACACCUGUUUAUUUUUCCAUUAUCACUAUGUUCAGCAGCACUAAAUGGAUUAUAACAGAGCUUCCUUCUCCAGUGACCCACAGGUGAGAAAACAAAAUUCUGGUUAAUAGGCAAAGAAAAACAAGAAAAGUCUGUCACUUCUAAGGUGCAUUAUCAGAUUAGAAGGUGUCUUCCUAUAACUUCUCUCACAUCCACAUUUUAUAUACAAGGAACUGUGGCUCAGAGACAAGUUAUUCAAUUUGCCCCAGCUAACAUAGCUAAAUAAGCAUCAAAGCCAAAGAGACAGCCCAGAAUUUGAGCCCAAGUGAGCAUAUCUUCUUAAAAGGGAGACCACAGCUUAUUCAUCAUCACAUUACCAGCAAAUGUCCAAUGCAGUUCCUAGCCCACAGUAAGCACCAAGUGUUUGUUGAAUGAAUGAGGGAAUACUUUAUUGUUAAUAAAGAAUGUAGGCCAGGUGGGAUGGCUAGCACCUGUAAUCUCAGCACAUUCAGAGACCAAGGCCGGCAGAUCACCUGAGGUCAGGAGCUCUAGGAUAUGCCUGGCCAACAUGGUGAAACCCCAUCUCUACUAAAAUUACAAAAAUUAGCCAGGCUUGGUGGUGGGCGCCUGUAAUCCCAGAUCCAUGGGAGGCUGAGGCAGGAGAAUCACCUGAACAUAGAAGGCAGGGGUCGGAGUGAGCCGAGAUCACCCUGAAUUCCAGCCUGGGCAACAGAGUGAGACACCAUCUCAAAAAAAAAAAAAAAA